AGGCGCCAUUUACCUUCAGUGUUGCUAACAGACUGUACAGAGAGAAGUCCUGCCCCUUUACUCAGGUAACAUCACAGAGGUGGUGGAUGAAGAUGAUUUGAAUGAACUGACCAGGCUGGUGUUGUUCACUGCCACCCACUUCAGAGGCAGCUGGAAGAAAGAUUUCUCGUGGUCUAAAACUUAUGAUGCUCAAUUUUGGCUCAAGAAGAAUGACUCAAAGGC
This is a long non-coding RNA of Oreochromis niloticus (Nile tilapia), 222 nucleotides long. RefSeq lists it as uncharacterized. Lineage: Eukaryota; Metazoa; Chordata; Actinopteri; Cichliformes; Cichlidae. The record is from RefSeq and is a predicted model, not a curated record. The transcript is spliced from 3 exons.